GACGAACGCUGGCGGCGUGCUUAACACAUGCAAGUCGAACGGAAAGGCCCUGCUUUUGUGGGGUGCUCGAGUGGCGAACGGGUGAGUAACACGUGAGUAACCUGCCCUUGACUUUGGGAUAACUUCAGGAAACUGGGGCUAAUACCGGAUAGGAGCUCCUGCUGCAUGGUGGGGGUUGGAAAGUUUCGGCGGUUGGGGAUGGACUCGCGGCUUAUCAGCUUGUUGGUGGGGUAGUGGCUUACCAAGGCUUUGACGGGUAGCCGGCCUGAGAGGGUGACCGGCCACAUUGGGACUGAGAGACGGCCCAGACUCCUACGGGAGGCAGCAGUGGGGAAUAUUGCACAAUGGGCGGAAGCCUGAGGCAGCAACGCCGCGGGCGGGAUGACGGCCUUCGGGUUGUAAACCGCUUUCGCCUGUGACGAAGCGUGAGUGACGGUAAUGGGUAAAGAAGCACCGGCUAACUACGUG
RNAcentral lists this ribosomal RNA (468 nucleotides) under uncultured bacterium. Its description in RNAcentral is "partial 16S ribosomal RNA". It matches the Rfam family "Bacterial small subunit ribosomal RNA", at positions 28 to 507 of the family's 1533-position model. The record is from RNAcentral.